UGCCAGCCGCCGCGGUAACACGGGGGGCGCAAGCGUUAUUCGGAAUUAUUGGGCGUAAAGGGCGCGCAGGCGGUCUUGUCCGUCAGGUGUGAAAGCCCCGGGCUUAACCUGGGAAUUGCAUUCGAUACUGGUAGACUUGAAUUUGGUAGAGGAAAGUGGAAUUCCGGGUGUAGCGGUGAAAUGCGUAGAUAUCCGGAGGAACAUCAGUGGCGAAGGCGGCUUUCUGGACCAAAAUUGACGCUGAGGCACGAAAGCGUGGGUAGCAAACAGGAUUAGAUA
This 279-nucleotide ribosomal RNA is filed under the name uncultured bacterium. Its description in RNAcentral is "partial 16S ribosomal RNA". It matches the Rfam family "Bacterial small subunit ribosomal RNA", at positions 506 to 784 of the family's 1533-position model. The record is from RNAcentral.